GACGAACGCUGGCGGCGUGCUUAACACAUGCAAGUCGAACGGAAAGGCCCAGCUUGCUGGGUGCUCGAGUGGCGAACGGGUGAGUAACACGUGGGUGAUCUGCCCCUAACUUCGGGAUAAGCUUGGGAAACUGGGUCUAAUACCGGAUAGGACAAUCGUUUAGUGUCGGUUGUGGAAAGUUUUUUCGGUUAGGGAUGAGCCCGCGGCCUAUCAGCUUGUUGGUGGGGUAAUGGCCUACCAAGGCGUCGACGGGUAGCCGGCCUGAGAGGGUGGACGGCCACAUUGGGACUGAGAUACGGCCCAGACUCCUACGGGAGGCAGCAGUGGGGAAUAUUGCACAAUGGGCGCAAGCCUGAUGCAGCGACGCCGCGUGGGGGAUGACGGCCUUCGGGUUGUAAACCUCUUUCGACAGGGAGGAAGCUUUGGUGACGGUACCUGUAUAAGAAGCACCGGCUAACUACGUG
RNAcentral lists this ribosomal RNA (464 nucleotides) under uncultured bacterium. RNAcentral describes it as "partial 16S ribosomal RNA". It matches the Rfam family "Bacterial small subunit ribosomal RNA", at positions 28 to 507 of the family's 1533-position model. The record is from RNAcentral.